GACGUAGGGCGCGAGCGUUGUCCGGAUUUAUUGGGCGUAAAGAGCUCGUAGGCGGCUUGUCGCGUCGAAUGUGAAAACCCGAGGCUCAACUUCGGGCUUGCAUUCGAUACGGGCAGGCUAGAGUUCGGUAGGGGAGACUGGAAUUCCUGGUGUAGCGGUGAAAUGCGCAGAUAUCAGGAGGAACACCGGUGGCGAAGGCGGGUCUCUGGGCCGAUACUGACGCUGAGGAGCGAAAGCGUGGGGAGCGAACAGG
Molecule: ribosomal RNA, 253 nt
Filed under: uncultured bacterium
Lineage: Bacteria
Description: partial 16S ribosomal RNA
Rfam family: Bacterial small subunit ribosomal RNA
Source: RNAcentral